This 691-nucleotide long non-coding RNA is filed under the name Homo sapiens (human). Its description in RNAcentral is "non-protein coding lnc-ECM2-1:1". Lineage: Eukaryota; Metazoa; Chordata; Mammalia; Primates; Hominidae. The record is from RNAcentral.
AGAUAAGAAAAAAUGACAGAGUAUGCCCAUGAAGCCACGAGAUUUCUGGAUAAAACAACUGAGUCCCCCCACAUGAGCUGGAGCAGAAGGCAGCACAGAAAAAGAUACCAAUUGUGGAAAAAGUGACCAACUAUGAGAGUGAGGUUGGGAAAGGUGGAGAGAAAUCAGUUAAGGAAAAAUUCCAGAUGUUGUCUAAGGAGACAAUGAAGAUAUUCCUCCUUCAGGGACACUGAAUACAUUAAGGCAAUAGAAAGAUUUUGGGAAUACAGAGUUAGGUAAGAUAAUCUGUUUCUGUUUUUACGAUGUUUAUUAGCUUUUUCAUUAUAAAGGUAAUACUCAUUGCUCAUUAUGAAAGUUAAAGGAAAAAGGAAAACACAAGUCAUCUAUGGUUCUAGUGCCCAGAGUUUAUCAUCAAUCAGGUAUAUUCCUGCCAGGUUUGUUUUUGUUUGUUUAUGAGUGUUUGUAAGUAUACAGUUUAUGGAUUUUUUAUAUUUGCUUUUUUUUAUUUCACAAAAGAUAAUAUCCCAUAUUUAAAAGUGUCUUUGCAAGCAUUUUGUGGGUUCCAAAAUAUUUCAUGGAAUAAAUAUACUCUUUUAUUUUACUAUUCCCCUUUAACCAUUAUAUAAUUGUCUCAAAUAUUUCUGCUAUUAUAAUUCUGUGAUGAACAUCUUUGUGCACUUUAGAAAUGUUU